This 133-nucleotide ribosomal RNA is filed under the name uncultured crenarchaeote. RNAcentral's name for it is "partial 16S ribosomal RNA". It matches the Rfam family "Archaeal small subunit ribosomal RNA", at positions 322 to 449 of the family's 1478-position model. The record is from RNAcentral. Lineage: Archaea; Thermoproteati; Thermoproteota.
CCUAUGGGGUGCANCAGGCGAGAAAACUUUGCAAUGUGCGAAAGCACGACAAGGUUAAUCCGAGUGGUUUCUGCUAAAGGAACCUCUUUGCCAGUCCUANAACACGACUGAGUGCAANGAAGCGCGUGGGCAA